RNAcentral lists this transfer RNA (86 nucleotides) under Spirochaetes bacterium GWB1_36_13. RNAcentral describes it as "tRNA-Leu". It matches the Rfam family "tRNA". Rfam says of the family: Transfer RNA (tRNA) molecules are approximately 80 nucleotides in length. Lineage: Bacteria; Pseudomonadati; Spirochaetota. The record is from RNAcentral. RNAcentral also lists the same sequence under 1 other name.
GCCCGAGUGAUGGAAUCGGUAGACAUACGGGAUUUAAAAUCCCGGGGGCGUUAAAGUCCGUGCCAGUUCAAGUCUGGCCUCGGGCA